UGCGGGGUCGUCUAAAGGUAAGACGCUACAUUUUGGUUGUGGCUAUUGCCGGUUCGAAUCCGGCCCCCGCAU
Molecule: transfer RNA, 72 nt
Filed under: Ignavibacteriaceae bacterium
Lineage: Bacteria; Pseudomonadati; Ignavibacteriota; Ignavibacteria; Ignavibacteriales; Ignavibacteriaceae
Description: tRNA-Gln
Rfam family: tRNA
About the family: Transfer RNA (tRNA) molecules are approximately 80 nucleotides in length. Their secondary structure includes four short double-helical elements and three loops (D, anti-codon, and T loops).
Source: RNAcentral